CUACUUACCUGGCAGGGGAGACACCAUGAUCACGUAGGUGGUUUUCCCAGGGUGAGGCUCCGCCAUUGCACUUGGGCUUGUGCUGACCCCUGCGAUUUCCCCAAAUGCGGGAAACUCGACUGCAUAAUUGGUGGUAGUGGGGGACUGCGUUCGCGCUCUCCCCGG
Molecule: small nuclear RNA, 165 nt
Filed under: Ornithorhynchus anatinus (platypus)
Lineage: Eukaryota; Metazoa; Chordata; Mammalia; Monotremata; Ornithorhynchidae
Description: U1 spliceosomal RNA (ENSOANG00000036533.1)
Rfam family: U1 spliceosomal RNA
About the family: U1 is a small nuclear RNA (snRNA) component of the spliceosome (involved in pre-mRNA splicing). Its 5' end forms complementary base pairs with the 5' splice junction, thus defining the 5' donor site of an intron. There are significant differences in sequence and secondary structure between metazoan and yeast U1 snRNAs, the latter being much longer (568 nucleotides as compared to 164 nucleotides in human).
Source: Rfam by way of RNAcentral